Molecule: non-coding RNA, 45 nt
Filed under: Schistosoma haematobium
Lineage: Eukaryota; Metazoa; Platyhelminthes; Trematoda; Strigeidida; Schistosomatidae
Source: RNAcentral
AUCUAGUUGUCGAGUCUCAAAUAGGACGAAACACGCGUCUUGGAU